CAACUGCUUCCAGACGGGCCUCCUAAAAGAGGACUUUAACCAGUUUAGGAACCAGAUUAAGAACUCAUUGUCCACGCAUCCGUUAGGCUGAGAGAGAACCCCUGGUUGAAGACAUGAAAAAACAAAACCCCAGUGGAGUUGUCAUCUCCUCAAAGAUGGACCAGACCUUCCCAUUACGGAGAAGAGAGAUUGUGGAGGCCGGUCAUCCAAUGAAAGCUUUGAAGGAGUGGUGGCCAGCGCUUUUUACAGAGAGAUAAGUAUUUGCAGAGUUCAAAGUGUUUGCAAAGAAGAAUGGGCAAAAAUGUAGGCUACAGCACUCAAGGUUGGAGCAGAUCACUGGGUUAGGUUUGACUGUCCUGAUUUAAGGGUGUUUGGGUUUUGUUUAGGUUUUUCUUUUCAGUUAUGUUUUGGAUCAUGCUUUUGUUUAUUAUUUUCCUGGUUGUGCUUUGGCGUCUGUUUUUUAGUUCAUGUUCUGUAAGAUUAGUUUGUGUCAUUGGAUUUUGUUUUGCUCCACGCACGUUUUGUUUUUACUCCAUGUCUCUGUCAGCUAGUAAUUAUCUUCAUUCGGUCCACCUGCACUAAGCAAUCAGUCUCUCGGUUUCACCUGCACCAUGCGCUUUAUAUUCUCUGCAUUGUUGUUCAUUACUGCUUCCUUUGUUUAUGCCAAGCCUGUUCUGCCUCUGUUCUUCCGCGCCUGCAUUUUCAACCACAUGCGUGCCAGUUUGUUUUCUUUUUGAUUAUUAAAUCUUUCAUUCAUCACACUACAGACCAAA
Girardinichthys multiradiatus is the source of this 773-nucleotide long non-coding RNA. RefSeq lists it as uncharacterized. The transcript is spliced from 3 exons. NCBI's taxonomy places the organism in Eukaryota, Metazoa, Chordata, Actinopteri, Cyprinodontiformes, Goodeidae. The record is from RefSeq and is a predicted model, not a curated record.